RNAcentral lists this long non-coding RNA (357 nucleotides) under Mus caroli (Ryukyu mouse). Its description in RNAcentral is "predicted gene 17122 (MGP_CAROLIEiJ_G0003736.1)". The record is from RNAcentral. Lineage: Eukaryota; Metazoa; Chordata; Mammalia; Rodentia; Muridae.
CUUCCUCUCUGAACCACAGCCCCUCUGACUUCAUCACCAGCCUCUACAAUUGUUACGUAAUUAAUUCAAUGGACCCCAGAACCUUUGUGAAUCUUCACACAGUCCUCGGCGUAGCACACGUACAGACAAUGCAGUGUGAGUCAUUCCAGCCAUGGUCUCUCCAUCUCCUUAUCCAAUAUUAAACCACGAGACAGACACAGAAACCUACGGAGGCUCAGGAGCCCCAAAGCCCCUAUCUCGGUGGCUGAGAGAACCUUUUCUUACAACACUACCCAGUCGUCUGCUUCCAUAGACACGCACCAUGAGGCUGUGAGGUUAGAGUAGGGCUAAGGUCUAGCUGCUGCCCUUGGAGCAGGC